Argentina anserina (silverweed cinquefoil) is the source of this 3195-nucleotide RNA transcript. It is a transcript of the gene named L-type lectin-domain containing receptor kinase S.1, with no coding region annotated. NCBI's taxonomy places the organism in Eukaryota, Viridiplantae, Streptophyta, Magnoliopsida, Rosales, Rosaceae. The transcript has 2 exons. The record is from RefSeq and is a predicted model, not a curated record.
UCCGCCUCAUCCGCUACUCUCUACAUUCACCUCCAUUUUCUUUGACCAAUUCCCCACCUCGCCGCCGGCAGCUGCCGGAAACCUCCUCCGAUGAGGCCCUUACCGUUCCGCCUCCUCCUCCUCUUCCACCUCCUCUCUCCCACUCUCGCCCUCGAAUUCCUCUUCAACUCCUCCAACAUCACCAACGCCACCGACUUCACUCUCAUCAACGACGCCAAGCUCGAUGGCGCCGCCGUCCGCCUCACAAACGACUCCGUCCAGUACUCCCUCGGCCGCUUCUUCCACACCACCAAGAUCACCAUGAGACCUAACUCCACCUCCGCUUCCCUCACCUCAUUCUCCACCUCCUUCGUCUUCUCCGAUCUCCCCAAGAUCGCCUCCAGCCCAGGCUUCGGCCUCUGCUUCUUCCUCUCCAACUCCACCUCUCCCCCCAACGCCCUCGCCAGCCAGUACUUCGGCCUCUUCUCCAACGCCACCGUCCCCGUCGUCGCGCCGCUACUCGCCGUCGAGUUCGACACCGGCCGGAACCCCGAGUUCAACGACCCCGACGGGAACCACAUCGGAAUCGACCUCAACAACAUCGAAUCCGCCAAAACCAGCCCCGCCGGCUACUUCAACUCCAGCGGCGGCUUCGUUCCGGUUCAGAUGCGGAGCGGCGAGAACAUCCGGACCUGGAUCGAUUUCGACGGCGAGAAUCUCGAAAUCAACGUCACUGUGGCUCCGGCGAGUCUGCCGCGGCCUUCUCGGCCUACUUUGAGCUUUAAAGAUCCGACAAUUGCGAACUACGUGUCGUCGGAGAUGUUCGUCGGGUUUUCGGCUUCGAAAACGACGUGGAUUGAGGCGCAGAGAAUUCUGGCUUGGAGUUUUAGUGAUACUGGAGUUGCUAAAGAGAUCAAUGUGACCAGCUUGCCUGUUUAUGAGGUCGGGACUAGUUCGAAAUCCUUGUCUAAAGGAGCCAUUGCCGGGAUCACAAUAGCUUGCAUUGUGUUUGUAGUGGUCUUAGCUUCGGGAGUUUACUUGUAUUGGAGGAAAAUGAAGAUGGAGGAUGAAGAAGAUGAUGAGAUUGAGGAUUGGGAGAUGGAGUAUUGGCCCCAUCGAUUUUCGAACGAAGAGCUGAGUGUGGCUACUGGUGGUUUCUCCAAGGAUCAGCUUUUGGGGUCUGGUGGAUUUGGGAAGGUUUAUUGGGGGGUUUUGUCGAACAAGACGGAGAUUGCAGUGAAAUGUGUGAACCAUGAUUCGAAGCAGGGGUUGCGAGAAUUCAUGGCCGAGAUUUCGAGCAUGGGGAGGCUGCAGCAUAAGAAUUUGGUCCAAAUGCGAGGGUGGUGCAGGAAAGGAAAUGAGCUCAUGCUUGUGUAUGACUACAUGCCUAAUGGGAGCCUGAACAAGUGGAUUUUUGAUAAGCCGAAGCAGGUUCUGGGGUGGGGGCAAAGGCGGCGUGUACUGGCGGAUGUGGCGGAGGGGAUGAACUAUCUGCAUUAUGGCUGGGAAAAAAUGGUGGUUCAUAGAGACAUUAAGUCGAGCAAUAUAUUGCUUGACUUGGAAAUGAGAGGCAGGCUUGGUGAUUUUGGUCUGGCCAAGCUGUAUGAGCACGGUGAAGUGCCGAAUACAACGCGUGUGGUUGGCACGCUGGGGUACAUGGCGCCGGAGCUGGCUACCUUAGCAGCGCCAACGGCAGCGAGUGAUGUGUACAGCUUUGGAGUGGUGUUGUUGGAAGUGGCGUGUGGCAGAAAGCCUAUUGAAAUGGAGGCAGAGGAGGAGGAGGAGGAAGUGCUGGUUGAUUGGGUGAGGGAGUUGUAUUUCAAAGGGAGGGUGAGAGAGGCAGCAGACCAGAGAAUUAAAGGGGAGUAUGAUGAGGAGGAGAUGGAGAUUGCAUUGAAGCUUGGGUUGUCUUGUUGCCAUCCUGAUCCCCAUAGAAGGCCUAACAUGAAGGAAAUUGUCACAAUUUUGGUUGGCGAGACAGGGUCCGGACCAGCACCUGCCUCAUUGUUAUCAGAACUGGCGCGUGGCGAGAGUGGCAAUGUUGCCGGCAGUGGGGAAGAAUCUGGGGAAGUAGCAUUCCGACCUCAGCAUUCAGCGUGAACUAAUCUGGAAGCGGAUCAUACUAUGUAGAUAUACAACACAUUCCUGUACACGAUUGAAGUGGCAAAGAGGGACUUACUGUGUACUCUGUUGAGUUUCUUCACUCAUCAUUUAAUUAGCCACUGCAACACAACGAGUUCCCUAGAAUGAUCAGUAAGUGGAAAAUACUAAUGGAAAUGCAUUAUUGUGAUACUCCCCCAUCCACCCCAUUCAGCUUGACUCAAAGGGAAACAAGUGUAGCUGGAGGAAACGAUUUUGCCACACUAAUCCGAUUUAGGCUGUUCAGGGUAACCAGAAACUGCAGCUGCAUUGAGGCUCCAGAGCCCAUUGUCGACGAUGAAGCAAACUUUGUAAUGGAAAUCCAAGUUUCUGUGCUUACCUCGAGUUUCAAGCAAUUGAAGUAUCGACAUCAUUAUAGACAAGUCAUGUCUCAGGUACUCUCUGGCAUGGGUGUCACAGGACCUGAGCAUGAAGCCAUUGUUAACAAAAUAUUUGAGGUGGUGAAAGUGGCGGAGGCUGGGUUGCCUAUCAUUGUCGGCUUGGGGGAUGUGACUGUCCGAUUCGGGGACAGUACCUGCAACACAAGUAAUCUAAGCCCAACAGUCCAAAGAUGUAUUGAGGAUCUUCAAGAUAUCAUCGAUUGGCUUACAUUAAGGGAUCCUAUGGACGAAAAUGUACGACUCGAUCAUUCCGGCAACCAAGGCUUCCAUUGAUGGUCUGGAGAAAGUGAGGCUUGAUAGUUUGGAAGAAGAAGCUAGCUAGUGUUGGACAGACGCCUCUUUGCUCUAUAUGUCUGGAGGGCUUCGAUCAAGGGAAUGGUGAUGAUAUUAUUGGCUUGCCUUGCACACAUCUUUAUCAUGGAGAUUGCAUUUCCCGCUGGCUCAAGAGGAAUCGCUUGUGUCCUGUGUGCCGAUACCCGAUUGAGGAAGGAACAAGCCAUCAAUAGGGUUGUUGCAUUGGCCUAGUAUGCUCAUAGUCUUGUCUGCGGUGACUGUUAGGGUUCUCUCUGGACUGUUGAGAUGUAAGUUGAAAUUCAAACAAGAUCAUCAUUCCGAAGCUAGAAGAGUUAAAGAUUCAUCAGGUAUAAAUGUUAGUUUGUUGCGUGAGAUCAUUGAC